GGGAUAUUGGAAUUAUUUUAUUCUCUGUUCAUAUCUGUGCAUUUCUGUUCAUAUAUUUUUAUACUUAUAUUCCUUUUUUAUAUUGCUCUGAACAAUUAUAUAUAUAUCAAUUGUACUUGCUCCUUAUCAUUAAAUAAGAAAUACAAUAUUUCAUCCUUUCUUUUCUCAUAACAUUCUCUUCGCAGGCUUUGCACCUUGUCUUUUUCAACCUUCUCGUCUUGAUUUUUCCAUCUUUACAGCCUUCCCUUAUGUUUCCUUUGUUUUACUUCGCAAUCCCUAAUUUGAUAUACACGCAUCUCUUUCUUUUUCGAUUUUGUUUCCUCCGCUCUAUCCUUUUCAAUCUUCUAUUUGUUUCUAUUCCAGUCACCAUUUUCAUUUCCAUAAAUCAUUACAUGUCUCUUUCUGUGCAUUAUUGUGAACCGAAACAACCAGUAGUUGAAGCAGCCCAUUUGUCUGGCUCUGCGAGUUUUCUAGAGUGGUGCCCCAUGAAUGGUAGUUC
This 499-nucleotide long non-coding RNA is filed under the name Vigna radiata. RNAcentral's name for it is "long non-coding RNA (VRAD_LNC014326)". The record is from RNAcentral. Lineage: Eukaryota; Viridiplantae; Streptophyta; Magnoliopsida; Fabales; Fabaceae.